This 317-nucleotide long non-coding RNA is filed under the name Elaeis guineensis (African oil palm). RNAcentral's name for it is "long non-coding RNA (EGUI_LNC003034)". Lineage: Eukaryota; Viridiplantae; Streptophyta; Magnoliopsida; Arecales; Arecaceae. The record is from RNAcentral.
UCUUAUCAGACUUAUGGUUGGCUUAGUGUUCUAUUGUAAUGUCGUUAACGUGAGGAAUCUAGAAAAUAUCCAAAAAUAGUUAUACCUAAUGAUCUUAUUACUUUUUUUCUCUUUUUAGUUUUGUUCUUAAAUAUUCUUCUUUUUUUGAACUAUUUUUGCAACUGCAUGUAGCCAUGCUGCAUUCCAUAUGCAUCAAAGUGCUGUGAUUUUCAUUCAUCUUUUUUCAUCUACCUUUGUUUUUUGAGAAAAGUUUUUACAAAAUUUUAUAUCUUACAAAAUUUCUAUUUAGAUAUUUUGAUGCACAUGCUACUUUGUGG